This 404-nucleotide ribosomal RNA is filed under the name uncultured bacterium. Its description in RNAcentral is "bacterial SSU rRNA". It matches the Rfam family "Bacterial small subunit ribosomal RNA", at positions 355 to 776 of the family's 1533-position model. The record is from RNAcentral.
UGGGGAAUAUUGGACAAUGGGGGCAACCCUGAUCCAGCAAUGCCGCGUGAGUGAAGAAGGCCUUAGGGUUGUAAAACUCUUUCAGCAGUGAAGAUAAUGACAUUAACUGAAGAAGAAGCUCCGGCUAACUCCGUGCCAGCAGCCGCGGUAAUACGGAGGGGGCUAGCGUUGUUCGGAAUUACUGGGCGUAAAGCGCGCGUAGGCGGAUCAAAAAGUUAGAUGUGAAAUCCCUAGGCUCAACUUAGGAACUGCAUUUAAAACUAGUGAUCUGGAAUUUGGUAGAGGAUAGUAGAAUUUCCAGUGUAGAGGUGAAAUUCGUAGAUAUUGGAAAGAAUACCAGUGGCGAAGGCGACUAUCUGGACCAACAUUGACGCUGAGGUGCGAAAGCGUGGGUAGCAAACAGG